AUUGAACGCUGGCGGCAGGCCUAACACAUGCAAGUCGAACGAGUGGCGGACGGGUGAGUAAUGUCUGGGAACCUGCCUGAUGGAGGGGGAUAACUACUGGAAACGGUAGCUAAUACCGCAUACCAUCGGAUGUGCCCAGCUGGGAUUAGCUAGUAGGUGGGGUAAAGGCUCACCUAGGGGACGAUCCCUAGCUGGUCUGAGAGGAUGACCAGCCACACUGUAACUGAGACACGGGCCAGACUCCUCCGGGAGGCAGCAGUGGGGAAUCUUGCACAAUGGGCGCAAGCCUGAUGCAGCCAUGCCGCGUGUAUGAAGAAGGCCUUCGGGUUGUAAAGUGCUUUCAGCGGGGAGGCGUUACUCGCAGAAGAAGCACCGGCUAACUCCGUGCCAGCAGCCGCGGUAAUAC
RNAcentral lists this ribosomal RNA (406 nucleotides) under uncultured bacterium. RNAcentral describes it as "partial 16S ribosomal RNA". It matches the Rfam family "Bacterial small subunit ribosomal RNA", at positions 30 to 526 of the family's 1533-position model. The record is from RNAcentral.